AUGCAAAUGAGCGCAAUUCUGUUGGAGCAAGAGAGGCAACAGAUCUGCGAUGACAUUCCUCCAGACUCGUCUUUGGGGGAGGAAGGGAAGGGAGGAGAGGGGAAGCUGCAGAGUGAGGUGGACUUACAACCACAGCCAGAGCAACAGGAGGAAGAGCCACAGACUGCGUCGCCGGAGCCGCAGUCGGAGCCCCAACCACAGACUCAGCCGCCUGAAACCAAACCUGAGCCAGAACCUCAGCCUCCACCAGAGCCUGAGCCUCAACCCGAACCUGAUCCUCAACCCGAACCCGAGUCUCCGCCUGAACCAGAUCAAGAGCCUCCACCCGAAUGGGAGCCUCCCCCCGAGCCACAGGCCGAGGUUCCAAGCGAGGGAGCGGACGUGGAGUUCCCUGAAUCACCUUGCGAAGAAGACCAGCACAAGUUGGGUGAACAAAUGGAAACCAAUAGAGAAGAAGAGGAGGAGGCUGCACGGGCCAGACUGCCGGAGGAGGCAUCGCAGGAGGAGGAGGAGGAGGAGGAGGAAGGGGGAGGAGCUAAAGGAGGUGGGACAGGGAGGAGAGCCAGCCUGCAUCACACGGCCUCACCUUUGAGGGUGCAGCGCAACGGCGCCGGUUCCCAUUCUGCCACCUCCGACUAUGAGCUCUCGCUUGACCUCAAAAACAAGCAGGUAGGGUGGUGUCGGGUGGGUGGGAGGGGGUGAGGAUUGAUGUGUGACAACUUGUUGGGGCUUUGGGGUAAAAGCUGAAGCAAUUUUUUGGAUUUAAAAAAAAAAUCUGUCAUAUUAAUCUCUGUUGGUGCUUCUGGACCCCCUGUGAACUGUACAAACUAAUGACAAGCUUCCUUUUCUUCAUGAUCCCAUUUAUCAUCAUCAUCACCAUCACCAUCAUCAACGUCAUCGUCAUCAUCACCAAUGUGAUUUUAUCUGUGUUGAAGAUUUAUCUUCUGGUGUCUUGAUGUUUGAUUCAGCUGGCCCUCAACGCCGCCCCUUCAGGCCAAAAUAAAUGUCGACCUUUGACCAUUUGCACGUGAAAUGAGUGUGAUCCCUUCAUCUUUUUACAGCUGUCCUAAGCGGAUUUGAAACUGACGCGCUGCUUCUGUGCCCAUGUCUCAAACGUGUCUCUCCCUGUUCUCAUGUGUGUGUGUUCUUGUCGUGCCGUUCGUCAGGAGCUUGGAAAGCAUUCUGUUAUCAUCUCCAUUUCAAGACCCAUCAAACAUUCGCCAUCUGUUUCCAUUACACUCAAUUUAAUCAACACUCUUCGACCCGUGGAUCUUCGGCAAGGUAAGGCUCGAUCAGGCUGCGGAGGUUGAAGGAAGCAGUUUUAGGUUCUAGAAAGUGAGCGACCGAAAGAUGAAAGACAUCAAAGCUCUCUAGAAGUCAGAUCAAAGCAACUUUUCCCCAAGAAGAGGCCUUAUUUUCCAUCAGAACUGAGUGGUCUUUAUGGUGUUGAUUGUUGCUGCAUACACUAGCUGACAGCUUAUAGAAUUGCUUUAAUUCCCUGGUCCAAGUUUUCAUAGAUCUGUGGUUCAUUUGUGAAACACGAAGGUUGCUGCCCACCUUCCGGUCCUUGACUUUGAUUACUGUCGCCGUAAUUGCGCUCCAGUUGGCCGCACUUAAUCAAUGCAGUGGAUUUGUUUACCAAUUGUUCUGGGGUCAUUGCUUACGCCGCUCUACCUCCGGGCACCGUGCGAGAUGGCGUUGAUGAAGCUAUUUAAAAGUAGCACCGUUCAGGGCAUUUGGACUAUGUCCUCAAUAUUUGUUUCAAUAAAAUGAAGAAGGAAAUUACCAAAUUACCAGAUUUAACGACUGGAACGUGGUUUGUUGUGACGCACUUUGAGUUAUGUGGUUUGUUCCUGUUUCCCUCCCACUCAGUUCCAUUUUUACUCCCUUCCGACUUUAUUUUCUCGUUCAGUAUAUCUGUUUUCAAGAUCAAAGCUCGGCUCCUACACGUGUCCCCACCUCUCUCACACUUUCGAUCCGACAUCCGAAAGCCCCUGACGCCUCCACACCGACGCCACCGGAGAUGUGCAAUGACAGGGGCAUUGAUCUCACGUCGUACAGUCGGGGGCAGUGAAGCUUGAUGCAUUGACAGACCAUCGUCAUUGUAAUUGGAUCUGCGGGGUGAGGCCGGGAUUUCUGGGAAAAGGAAUUUGAACCGCAGUUCAACAUUUUUGCAGUUUUACACAACCUGGUUUGAAUGAAAGAUCCCCGUUAUUCUAGAAUUAGAUCUAAGAGUCCUCAGACGCAGGAUUCUGAUCAAUCCUCACCUCAUUUUCCACCAUCACAAGGCCAUGAAUAACAACACAUCAGCCAACAACUUCAGCUCUUUCACGCGUCCUCGGCUCUCGUCUGGUUCUUGCACUGGUUCCUCCUGUUAUGUAAUCCUCUAAUUAAUCGGGCAGAUGUUUCUGGGCUCCGAGACGAUCCGCAUGAGCGUGAAGGCUAAUAAUCACAGCUUUGCACCACAGUUGUCCUCAGCAGUGCAUUUUUUUGGACAUUUUAGAGUGGGGCGGUGACGUACCUCACGCUUGAUUGAUUGAAAGGUGUCUGUAUCCAUGUCCAAUUGCGCUCUGCAGAGCUGUGCUUGCUUAGCACCUUUGAUCCUCCCCUCAUUUUGAACUGAGCGUGAGGUCAGCAAGAGGCCAAACUUCCUGUCAAAGCUGAUUUAGAGAUCGCAGCAUCGCAGAGCUGAUCCGAUUUCUCCGGAAUAAUCUCAAUCCAUCGGCACUUAACCUGCUGAUUGGACGUGGAAUUGACAGAGGAGGUUUUCAACGGUGUCAGUCACUCCUUUAUCUUCCGCAUCUCCUAACCGGGACACUUUUAUCGGCUUUUCCAGCAGCACUGCUGCUAAACUACCGUUAUCGCCAAAUGAAGUUCCUAAAAAUCCACAAGCCUCAUAUUUUUACUGGGAUUACCGGAGCCGUGCGUGUCACAUUGUUUACAUCCGUUGUUGAAAUACUACUGUGACGCUAAAACGGAGCAGAGCCAGCUCCAGAGAUCUCGCCGACAUUCAGCCCCACAAAUUAUUCACGGUGGUGUAUUUAGCUCUUCAGCUGUAAGCCUUGAUGCCGUGUGCCGCCCAGACCACCUCCACCUUGACGCUUUGCUCCAUCAUGACUGAUUGGGUUCAGUCAUUUUAUCCUCCUACCAACUAUGGCUGGUGAAAGGACGGUGCAGACAGGUCAUGAUUACUGAGAUGGAGACCUUGUUGGAGGCUACACAGCACUGGUAUGAACACCAAAUGGCCCAACACAUGUAGAAAUUCCCCCUAAUAGUAGGAUACUGGGUGCAGAAUAUCCUAAAUGUUCUCCCUCCAAAAAGUCCUGACACAUUUCAGCGGCUCAAGAACCUUUUUCAAAGCUUUGGAUUUAUCAGCUCUUACGUGUUCAAUAGAAAGCCAAAGCCUUGCUGCUAAUGUCUCCAAAAAUUGAUUAUACGACUACCGGUAUCUUUUACCCACAUGACAGCAAAUCGAGCCUUAUGGCGUGCCGUAAUUCCAGGUCAUCAGUGGCGUUUAUCAGAUAGGCUCAAGAAAGCAACAUGUGCUGAAUGCUUUAUUCAUCAUCUCCAGCCCGAAUCACGCAGGAGGCGAUACAGACAAGUCCGACUGCCAUAUUUAAUCUACCCCUGCCGGCUCUCAGCCCUCCUUCCUCGCUCUGAAGGGCACCUUUGCGGUGGAAGUUCGGAAACUGGCUUUGAGGGACACCUUUGCGAGAAAUUAGGUCGAUCAAAGCACCAGCUUUAUUUUGGGGAUGCAGCUGUGGUGAUAAGGCUAAUCACUUCCAGAGCCCCCGCAGUGGGGGAGAGAUCCUGAAUAAGAAGCUGUGAAUAUUCAGGUCAAGUCUGACCCUUUGGCCGGAGCCAAGAGUGAUGGAGAAGUCGCCAUUAGCAGAUUAAGCAGCGGCCCAAAAUGACACCCAGAUCCCACCUUAAUAUGUUCGCUUUGUCCAACUUGCGCAGCCUCUGCAGUGAAGUAUAAAUGGAGUAGAUAAGAUGGAUUCUCAGUGUCAGUCCAUUCUUCUAAAGCGCUUUUGUGUGAUUCCAUUAGUCUGGUGACAGCAGCACAGUUUAACCGGCCACUUAUCACGAAACCUUAAAGCAUUACAGAAAAUCAGGAGACUGUGUCAGGGUGUUUGGGCGACUGUAGGGGCAUUAAAGGAGAUCUGAGGCUGAAAGUCACAUCCACAAGCACGCAUUGGUUCAAGACGAGAGGCUACAUCUUAAAGAUAACAGUCCGGGAUGUAGCCGAGACCUCUUUGUUUAAAGGUCGUGCUAUUUUAAAGUGUGUGUCGACUGUAUAUUUAGACCCAAAAGAGCUCGAUGUGAUGCUGAAGUUCUUCUAAAGCGUCAUUCCAGGACUGAAACAGAAUUAUAGCCAUUGAUACAGUUUGGAUGAAAAGGAUAUCAGAGUGACUAGAGAAGAUAAGGGCUCUUUCUUGCCUCUUCAGCAUGACAAUUGUUCUGGGUAACUCAAAGAGGGCCCCAUCA
RNAcentral lists this long non-coding RNA (4488 nucleotides) under Takifugu rubripes (torafugu). Its description in RNAcentral is "lncRNA (ENSTRUG00000033094.1)". Lineage: Eukaryota; Metazoa; Chordata; Actinopteri; Tetraodontiformes; Tetraodontidae. The record is from RNAcentral.